This 420-nucleotide ribosomal RNA is filed under the name Fusobacteriota bacterium. RNAcentral's name for it is "Fusobacteria bacterium partial 16S ribosomal RNA". It matches the Rfam family "Bacterial small subunit ribosomal RNA", at positions 355 to 776 of the family's 1533-position model. Lineage: Bacteria; Fusobacteriati; Fusobacteriota. The record is from RNAcentral.
UGGGGGAUAUUGCACAAUGGGCGAAAGCCUGAUGCAGCGACGCCGCGUGGGGGAUGAAGGCUUUCGGGUUGUAAACCUCUUUCGCUAUCGAACAAGGCCCGCUUAGGGUGGGUUGAGGGUAGGUGGAGAAGAAGCGCCGGCUAACUACGUGCCAGCAGCCGCGGUAAUACGUAGGGCGCGAGCGUUGUCCGGAAUUACUGGGCGUAAAGGGCUUGUAGGCGGCUUGUUGCGCCUGCUGUGAAAACGCGGGGCUUAACUUCGCGCGUGCAGUGGGUACGGGCAGGCUUGAGUGUGGUAGGGGUGACUGGAAUUCCAGGUGUAGCGGUGGAAUGCGCAGAUAUCUGGAGGAACACCGAUGGCGAAGGCAGGUCACUGGGCCAUUACUGACGCUGAGGAGCGAAAGCAUGGGUAGCGAACAGG